Long non-coding RNA from Bicyclus anynana (squinting bush brown), 1242 nucleotides. RefSeq lists it as uncharacterized. The transcript is spliced from 2 exons. The record is from RefSeq and is a predicted model, not a curated record. Lineage: Eukaryota; Metazoa; Arthropoda; Insecta; Lepidoptera; Nymphalidae.
GCGGCCGAAGGCCGCGCGUUCCGUUUUUUGUGCUCCGGUAAAAUGCCCAGCCGUAGUCACGGUCGAAGGCUCUAUCACAAACUCCCGGCCGAAGGCCGGGUCACAACACAGUGCGCGGCCGAAGGCCGCGCGUUCCGUUUUUGUGCAUUGGUAAAAUGCCGCGCUUUUUUUUGUUUGGGUAAAAUACCCAGCCGUAGUCACGGUCAAAGGCUGUAUCAUAAACUCCCGGCUGAAGGCCGCGCUUUUUUUUGUUUGCGUAAAAUACCCAACCGUAGUCACGGUCAAAGGCUGUACCAUAAACUCCCGGCCUUAGGCCGCGCAAUCCGAUUUUUGUGCUUGAGUAAAAUGCCCUGCCGUAGUCAUGGUCAAAGGCCCUAUCACGAACUCCCGGCCGAAUGCCGGUCUAUAAUAAAGUUUAAAGCGCGUUUUUUGUGCUUGGGUAAAUUGACCAGGAAAAGAGGAGGACUUUUCGCAAACUUUCAACCCCUAUUUCACCCCCUUCUGAUUUUAUUUUCGCUAUAAAAAGUAAAAUAUAACCUGCUCCGUAUUAUGUUCUCAAAUCGUGCUAAGUUUCAUUUAAAUUCAUUCAGUAGUUUCAGUGUGAUGCCCGGUCAACAAAAAAUAGGGACAGACAGACAAAUAAUCGAAAAAAAAUGUUUUUGAAUGCAGUAUCAAUUGUAUAAUGCCCUAUGAUAUAUUUUUUUUUUUAAUUAAUCAAAAAGUUCUGUAAUUUGACCUGUUACCUACAGUUUUAUUAUAAGAAUAGAGUAUAGAUAGUUGUAUUUAAUAGCUAUUGCGCCAAAUUCGUGCUCUUUUUAUAGUAAUAAAUCUUGCAUGAUAUUAUACGAUAAAAAAAAAAGUAGACAAUGUGACUAUUUAAACAAAAAAAAAAAGUUAAAAAGGAUUAUUCAGUUUGAACCUGAACUUUAAAGUAGUUCCUGAGAUUAAUUUCGCGCGUUCAACCAAAUAAACAAACAAAUUGGUCAGUUAAGUAUAGAAUAUGUGCCUCAAUAUCGAGUUAUACACAGUUAUAGUGGAAAACUCGUUUCUCCAAAUAACGCCUGCGAAUCAAUUUGAGCAAUCUGGUUUUUUCAAGAUUACUUUUUUUCUAUCUGUCCGAUUUUAAUGAAACAAAGCCUAUAUGUUGCCCUAAACUUAGCUUAAUCUAUUUGUGAAAUCCGCAUCAAAAUCCGUUCAUCAGAACCAGAGAAUAGCGCGAACAUACAGACAGAAGGACAGACA